UGGGUUUGACAUAUACGAGAAGCCUCUAUCUCUAGAGGCUUCUCGUAUAUGUCAAACCCAGGUAAGGUUCUUCGCGUUGCAUCGAAUUAAUCCGCAUGCUCCGCCGCUUGUGCGGGCCCCCGUCAAUUCCUUUGAGUUUUAGCCUUGCGGCCGUACUCCCCAGGCGGGGCGCUUAAUGCGUUAGCUACGGCACGGAUCCCGUGGAAGGAAACCCACACCUAGCGCCCACCGUUUACGGCGUGGACUAC
RNAcentral lists this unclassified non-coding RNA (248 nucleotides) under uncultured Actinomycetes bacterium. Its description in RNAcentral is "uncultured actinobacterium contains 16S-23S intergenic spacer region". The record is from RNAcentral. Lineage: Bacteria; Bacillati; Actinomycetota; Actinomycetes.